RNAcentral lists this ribosomal RNA (468 nucleotides) under uncultured bacterium. RNAcentral describes it as "partial 16S ribosomal RNA". It matches the Rfam family "Bacterial small subunit ribosomal RNA", at positions 28 to 507 of the family's 1533-position model. The record is from RNAcentral.
GACGAACGCUGGCGGCGUGCUUAACACAUGCAAGUCGAACGGAAAGGCCCUGCUUUUGUGGGGUGCUCGAGUGGCGAACGGGUGAGUAACACGUGAGUAACCUGCCCUUGACUUUGGGAUAACUUCAGGAAACUGGGGCUAAUACCGGAUAGGAGCUCCUGAUGCAUGGUGGGGGUUGGAAAGUUUCGGCGGUUGGGGAUGGACUCGCGGCUUAUCAGCUUGUUGGUGGGGUAGUGGCUUACCAAGGCUUUGACGGGUAGCCGGCCUGAGAGGGUGACCGGCCACAUUGGGACUGAGAGACGGCGCAGACUCCUACGGGAGGCAGCAGUGGGGAAUAUUGCAGAAUGGGCGGAAGCCUGAUGCAGCAACGCCGCGUGCGGGAUGACGGCCUUCGGGUUGUAAACCGAUUUCGCCUGUGACGAAGCGUGAGUGACGGUAAUGGGUAAAGAAGCACCGGCUAACUACGUG